RNAcentral lists this small RNA (29 nucleotides) under Bombyx mori (domestic silkworm). Its description in RNAcentral is "ovarian small RNA-31615". The record is from RNAcentral. Lineage: Eukaryota; Metazoa; Arthropoda; Insecta; Lepidoptera; Bombycidae.
UGACCGCGAUGGUGCGUUGCCGCCGUUUU